GGACAGGUGGCAGAGUGGUUUAUUGCGCCCGCCUGAAAAACGGGAGUGCCUGAAAGGGUACCGCGGGUUCGAAUCCCGCCCUGAUUU
This 87-nucleotide transfer RNA is filed under the name Novosphingobium resinovorum. RNAcentral's name for it is "tRNA-Phe". It matches the Rfam family "tRNA". Rfam says of the family: Transfer RNA (tRNA) molecules are approximately 80 nucleotides in length. Their secondary structure includes four short double-helical elements and three loops (D, anti-codon, and T loops). Lineage: Bacteria; Pseudomonadati; Pseudomonadota; Alphaproteobacteria; Sphingomonadales; Sphingomonadaceae. The record is from RNAcentral.